AGAGUUUGAUCAUGGCUCAGGAUGAACGCUGGCGGCGUGCUUAAUACAUGCAAGUCGAACGAAGAGCCUUUGUAGCAAUACGGAGGUUUCUUAGCGGCGAACGGGUGAGUAACGCGUUGGUGACCUACCCCAAAGUGUGGGAUAACAGUUCGAAAGAACUGCUAAUACCGCAUGUGGUUAUCGGGCUUAGAAACCGAUAACUAAAGGAGCAAUUCGCUUUGGGAGGGACCUGCGUCCCAUCAGCUAGUUGGUGAGGUAAUGGCUCACCAAGGCUACGACGGGUAGGGGACCUGAGAGGGUGACCCCCCACAAUGGAACUGAAACACGGUCCAUACACCUACGGGUGGCAGCAGUAGGGAAUAUUGCACAAUGGGCGAAAGCCUGAUGCAGCAACGCCGCGUGCACGAUGAAGGCCUUCGGGUCGUAAAGUGCUUUUCUGGGAGAUGAGAAAGGACAGUAUCCCAGGAAUAAGUCUCGGCUAACUACGUGCCAGCCGCCGCGGUAAUA
Molecule: ribosomal RNA, 507 nt
Filed under: bacterium enrichment culture clone Cont1221_3132
Lineage: Bacteria
Description: bacterial SSU rRNA
Rfam family: Bacterial small subunit ribosomal RNA
Source: RNAcentral